AGCGUAGACGGAUGGACAAGUCUGAUGUGAAAGGCUGGGGCUCAACCCCGGGACUGCAUUGGAAACUGCCCGUCUUGAGUGCCGGAGAGGUAAGCGGAAUUCCUAGUGUAGCGGUGAAAUUCGUAGAUAUUCGGAGGAACACCAGUGGCGAAGGCGGCUUACUGGUCCAUUACUGACGCUGAGGUGCGAAAGCGUGGGGAGCAAACA
RNAcentral lists this ribosomal RNA (207 nucleotides) under uncultured bacterium. RNAcentral describes it as "partial 16S ribosomal RNA". It matches the Rfam family "Bacterial small subunit ribosomal RNA", at positions 568 to 774 of the family's 1533-position model. The record is from RNAcentral.